Molecule: ribosomal RNA, 497 nt
Filed under: uncultured bacterium
Lineage: Bacteria
Description: partial 16S ribosomal RNA
Rfam family: Bacterial small subunit ribosomal RNA
Source: RNAcentral
GAUGAACGCUGGCGGCGUGCCUAAUACAUGCAAGUCGAGCGAACAGACGAGGAGCUUGCUCCUCUGACGUUAGCGGCGGACGGGUGAGUAACACGUGGAUAACCUACCUAUAAGACUGGGAUAACUUCGGGAAACCGGAGCUAAUACCGGAUAAUAUAUUGAACCGCAUGGUUCAAUAGUGAAAGACGGUUUUGCUGUCACUUAUAGAUGGAUCCGCGCCGCAUUAGCUAGUUGGUAAGGUAACGGCUUACCAAGGCGACGAUGCGUAGCCGACCUGAGAGGGUGAUCGGCCACACUGGAACUGAGACACGGUCCAGGCUCCUACGGGAGGCAGCAGUAGGGAAUCUUCCGCAACGGGCGAAAGCCUGACGGAGCAACGCCGCGUGAGUGAUGAAGGUCUUCGGAUCGUAAAACUCUGUUAUUAGGGAAGAACAAAUGUGUAAGUAACUAUGCACGUCUUGACGGUACCUAAUCAGAAAGCCACGGCUAACUACGUG